Molecule: transfer RNA, 74 nt
Filed under: Ailuropoda melanoleuca (giant panda)
Lineage: Eukaryota; Metazoa; Chordata; Mammalia; Carnivora; Ursidae
Rfam family: tRNA
About the family: Transfer RNA (tRNA) molecules are approximately 80 nucleotides in length.
Source: Rfam by way of RNAcentral
ACCUAGCUGGCUCAAGUUGGUAGAGUAUGCGACUCUUGAUCUCAUGGUUGUGAGUUUGAGUCCCACGAUGGGUG